GAAUAAAGUCAAUAGAGAGAUACACAUGAAUUCCGAUGCUUUCUCAAAGAUGCCUAACUUGAGAUUCUUGAGAAUCUAUGGAGAUGAGAACAAAUGUAUGGUCUCUCAUUUAGAGGGUGUGCCAUUUGCUGAAGUGAGGCACCUCGAGUGGGCUCAAUGUCCUUUGAAAACGUUGAAUAUAUGUGCGGAGAAACUUGUUUCACUUAGAAUGCCUUGCAGCAAGGUUGAACAACUUUGGGAUGAUGUUCAGGUAUGUAUUUAUUUGAAAUUCUUUCAGUAAUAAAUUCUAAAUACAAUUGAUGCUAUAAUUAAUAUAUGUGAUAGUAUCUGUUUAUUUAUAAAGAUGAUGAUGAUAAUAAUAAUAAUAAUAAUUUUUUGGGGCACAGGAUCUUGUUAACUUAAAAGAAAUAGACCUCAGUGGAUCCGAGUCGUUAACGAAACUCCCAGACUUGUCACAGGCCAAAAAUCUUAAGAUUCUGAUGUUAGGCGGCUGUUUAAGUUUGAUGGAUACUCGCUCAUCUAUUCAAUAUCUAAAUAAACUUGAAGUUCUUUAUCUACGAAAGUGCGAAAGCCUGACGAGUCUUCCAAUUAGCAUUCCUUUCAAAGAUAUCAUUAACUUCCCAGGUGGAAUUGUUAGAGUGCAAUUUAUGCACUAGUUUUGCAUUAUUUACUUCCCUUAAUAUCAAUGUUUUGCACUUAAUAAUAGUGAUUUACUUGUGUUUUACUUUUGUAGGUGCAAUUCUAUUGAUUGAUGAUAAAAUUGAGCUAUAAGAUGAUGUUUAAGGAUGAUUGUUCUCUUGGAGAAAUUAUGAGCGUCAGAAGAACUUUGUUGAUAAGGCGUGGGCGCGUGCUGUCAACUGCGGACCUGCAGUUUUAGUUUAACGUGUUUUGUAUUUUUGUGGGUCUGAGGGUGUUUGCAAACUAGGGAUUUGGGGCAUCGGUGGUAUAGGCAAGACAACAAUCGCUGGUGCUGUUUUUAACAAAAUCUCUAGACAUUUUGAAGGUUCUUACUUUGCGCUUAAUGUUAGAGAAGCAGAAGAAACUGGCGGAAUAAAGGACUUACAAAAGAAACUUCUGUCUGAGCUAUUGAAUGAUGGAAAUAUGAGGAACAUCGAGUCUCAACUCAACAGACUUGCUCGCAAGAAGGUUCUAAUUGUUUUUGAUGAUGUGAGUCAUCGAAGACAAAUAGAAUCAUUAAUUGGAUGCCUUGAUGAGUUAGCUUCAGGGAGUCGAGUAAUAAUAACAACAAGAGAUAAACAAGUCCUUAAAAAUUGUUGGGCCAAUCAAAUAUAUCGGAUGAAGGAAUUAGUAUAUGCUGAUGCUCAUAAGCUUUUCUGUCAGUGUGCUUUUGGAGGAGACCAUCCAGAUGCAAGUCAUACAGAGCUCACAGACAGGGCAAUCCAAUAUGCACAGGGAGUUCCUUUAGCUCUUAAAGUUUUGGGUUGCCAUCUAUGCGGAAGGAGCGAAGAGGUAUGGGAAAGUGCAAUGAGAAAACUGGAAAAAAUUCCUCACGAUGAAAUCCAGAAGGUGUUAAAAAUAAGUUAUGAUAGCUUGGAUGACUCUCAGAAGAAUGUUUUUCUAGAUAUUGCAUGUUUCUUUGAAGGAGAGCAUAGAGAUGAGGUGACAAGCUUUUUUGAUGCUAGUGGCCUCGAAGCUAAAAUAGAAUUAAGUGUUCUUGAAGGUAAGUCUCUCAUAACUUGCUUCCAUAACCACAUAAGAAUGCAUGACUUGAUACGAGAUAUGGGAAGAGAAAUUGUUCGAAAUGAAUCUAUCGAACAUCCAGGAGAGCGCAGUAGGUUGUGGUAUCACGAGGAUAUUUAUGAAGUUUUGAAGAACAAUUCGGUGAGGAAUAAUAAGUUUUUAAUUGUAUCUUAUUUGUGUUACAUUUAUAUUAGCAAUUUGUCUGAAUAUGUCUUUUUGAAUAAGAAUAGCAUUAAUACAGCUUAAAAUUAAUUGAAAAAUAAUAUUAAAAAAUUGGUAAAAUGAAAUAGAUAGAUCCGAUGUUUCCCCAAGUCAGUUUGAAACAUGCCUCUAAAAUCCCCAGCAAACUAGCGCCUUCGGAGAGAGACUCAAAAAAAAAAAAAAAAAAACACCUCAAUCUUAUUGCAUUUUCUUUUCAACUCAAGCUCUGCCCCUAUCCUUAUUUUUCACUAAAAAAAUUUGAUUGAAUUAAUUUUACAGUUUACAUAUUAAGCAUUUUCUUGAAUUUUCUAUUUUACACUUCCUAAAAGCCUUACCCAAAUAGUUUAUUAUAAAGUGAUUGUAAUAUCUCUAUUUGGGUUUGACGGCUUAAAAAUAAUUGUUUAUUUGUUUGCUUCAAUUAUAUACCAACUUAUGAUCUCCUAUUUGAUUGUUAGGGAACUGAAAAAAUCAAGGGUAUCUUCUUGGAUAUGAAUAAAGUCAAUAGAGAGAUACACAUGAAUUCCGAUGCUUUCUCAAAGAUGCCUAACUUGAGAUUCUUGAGAAUCUAUGGAGAUGAGAACAAAUGUAUGGUCUCUCAUUUAGAGGGUGUGCCAUUUGCUGAAGUGAGGCACCUCGAGUGGGCUCAAUGUCCUUUGAAAACGUUGAAUAUAUGUGCGGAGAAACUUGUUUCACUUAAAAUGCCUCGCAGCAAAGUCCAACAACUUUGGGAUGAUGUUCAG
This 2642-nucleotide long non-coding RNA is filed under the name Citrus sinensis (sweet orange). Its description in RNAcentral is "long non-coding RNA (CSIN_LNC002170)". Lineage: Eukaryota; Viridiplantae; Streptophyta; Magnoliopsida; Sapindales; Rutaceae. The record is from RNAcentral.